Molecule: microRNA precursor, 78 nt
Filed under: Schistosoma margrebowiei
Lineage: Eukaryota; Metazoa; Platyhelminthes; Trematoda; Strigeidida; Schistosomatidae
Description: mir-3492 microRNA precursor family
Rfam family: mir-3492 microRNA precursor family
Source: Rfam by way of RNAcentral
AGCUUUUCGAAUCCGUGCAGAGACUUCGUCAGACACCGACCCAUUAGGGUUGAUCAGACUUCCAAGGUAAGUGAAGUU